RNAcentral lists this transfer RNA (71 nucleotides) under virus sp. ctHG14. RNAcentral's name for it is "tRNA-Gln". It matches the Rfam family "tRNA". From Rfam's summary of the family: Transfer RNA (tRNA) molecules are approximately 80 nucleotides in length. Their secondary structure includes four short double-helical elements and three loops (D, anti-codon, and T loops). Further hydrogen bonds mediate the characteristic L-shaped molecular structure. tRNAs have two regions of fundamental functional importance: the anti-codon, which is responsible for specific mRNA codon recognition, and the 3' end, to which the tRNAs corresponding amino acid is attached (by aminoacyl-tRNA synthetases). tRNAs cope with the degeneracy of the genetic code in two manners: having more than one tRNA (with a specific anti-codon) for a particular amino acid; and 'wobble' base-pairing, i.e. permitting non-standard base-pairing at the 3rd anti-codon position. The record is from RNAcentral.
GGGGCUAUCGCCAAAUAGUAAGGCAUAGGAUUUUGAUUCCUGCACUGUUGGUUCGAUUCCAACUAGCCCUG